Long non-coding RNA from Lutra lutra (Eurasian river otter), 3123 nucleotides. RefSeq lists it as uncharacterized. The transcript is spliced from 3 exons. NCBI's taxonomy places the organism in Eukaryota, Metazoa, Chordata, Mammalia, Carnivora, Mustelidae. The record is from RefSeq and is a predicted model, not a curated record.
AGUGUGGUAGGCGGGAUUAGAUCCUUGCCCUACGACCUCCUUUCACCUGCAGUUGGGGUAAUUCUAGUUAAAAUUCUAGUUAAAAGACGACUUGAUGCAACCUCGGGAAACCACCACCAGCAGCAGUGACCCAACUAAGGUUUUCACACAGACAUAGUAAGUGGGGCGCCAGAAUGUCCCGCGGCGGCCGAGCAGGUGAAGCCGGCAGGGCCCUUGUUAACUCUGCCUGAUGAAGUAUCUUAGCAGGUUACUCUCCUGGAUAGUUUAAGUCCCUCCGGACUUAGGAGUUGACAUCCUAAAGGACAUAUGGAAGAAAACCCAUUUUAGUUAAGUGAGAAACUCAGCUGGAAGCAAGAGAGGAGUCCAGGGUGGGAGGAGUCUAAGUUUGGGAAGCAACCGAAGUGUGCCAGAAAAGGAAACAAAGGCAGCUUCCUCCCUCGUCCUGGGAAUUGAGGAGCUCCGAGCUUCCAGCUGUGGCCUGGGUGGUACUGUGCUUUUAUUCUCCAGUCCUGAAACUAGCUGCAUUUCAGCAAAUCUGGAACCCGAACUUUUCUUUAAAACGAUAGACUCAACAGGAUAGAAACAGUGUGGGGCUUGGGAAACAGUAAAAAAAAAAAAAAAAAAAUGAUUCAAAUACAAGAUCCUCAACUCCAUCCACUGGUCUAAGAGACUGAGUAAUUCCUUCAAAACUGGGAGCCCUCUAAGCAUUAUGAAUUUACUGAUGUUGCCAUAUCUUUGGAAUAUAGUGCAUUUAACAAACACCGUCUUGGCUACCCUUUGGUGUACCUUUGCUUGCAUUCCUGAGAACCCUUGCUCUCAGAUUUCAUGACACAUUUAGAAACUGGAUGGGCUAUUUCAUGUAGGCAAACCACCUCCUCCACUUAAAUCAAGUAGGUGAAGAAUUUGGACUAUAAUAAAAUAAGGUGGGGCUGACUAGAGAGGGUGAAAUAGCAUCUUUGGAACCGUAUUCACACAGACAUGUCUUUAUAAAGCCUGGGACAGUGAAAUUAGGAUUUAAUGUACAAAAAUCCAAAUCAUCACUUCAAUGGAAUGAGGGUUGACUUGCUGCCUGUGUGGUAGGUUGGAGGCUGUGAUGCUUCAGGUCUCAUCAUGUUUCCCAUGUGGUUCUCCUCUUCAGACUCCUCUUGGAGCUGGUGUGCCUGGCCCCGCCCCCAGUCUUUUUCGGAGACAAUGAUUGAAUAUGCUUCCAAAAGCUGCUUACUCAUGAAGGACGAAAUCAUUCUUUCCCUGGAUUCUGGCUGGACCCUGGACACUGUCACCACAAGGCUGAUUUCUGCCAAGAGAGCUCACCUCUGUGUUGGCAUCCACAACAUCUGGAUCCUCUCUGCAUGGCUCGGGGGUCCACCCUUUCCUCCCUGUCCCUCUGAACCCCCACUCCCCCAUGGCCUGCUGCCUAGGGAUGCACUUCUCCUUGGUGGAAAUAGCUGGGGCCAAGGUCUGGGUGUGGCCAGCCUGUCUUUGUGGCACCUUGGCUCCCUGCUCUUCCCAGAACAAAGUGCCCUUCCCCUUCCCUGCCAUCACUUCCUGGAGUCACUGCUCACGAUGCCUGACAUUUGCCCUGAGCAUUGCACCUUCUGAAUCUUUGCUGGUGAAUUUUUCUGAGGGGUGGAGAGGCCAGGAAGAGAGGCAACAGAACCUUGGUGACCCCACCUAGAGGCCCAAUCUCACCAGAACAAAAGCUCAGGCUUAGUUCAGAUUUGCAGGAAUAUUCAGGCCAGUAUCACAGGGAAGCUUCAGGGAGGGGUGCCUGGAAGAUAGGAGACCUAUGACUGCAUGACCCACCCAAAAUGUUGGUACAGAGGCGGAAAGGUAGGGCCUCUCUAGACCCCUUUGUGGUCACUCCUCACUGCCCUGCCACUAGCGCUCUGAGCUUCCCCCAGUGCGUUCUCUGACAAAACCGCACAUGUCUGCUCUGACAUCUCUCCUGAAGCCCAAAUUGAUGGAGCUCCCAGAGCCUCACUUCUCAGAGUGGGAGCCCUUCUUGCAUAGGGGCUGAGCCCCUCAUCCCAACUCUGCAGCUCUUCAGUUGCAAACAGAGACCAGUCCAUCCUUGGUUCAGCAGUGCUUUCAUAAGAAAAUCAUUGAUGGGAGGACAUAGCCCCAAGUCUGCCAUUUUGCCAAGAGGAAGGUUGUAGAGAGAAGGAUUAGGUGGUAAGACUGAGCUCUUGUAGGGAUGCUCCCUUGUAUAAGAGAACCCAAGAGGAGGAAAAAUAAGGAGUUCUCCUGCUCUUGCCUGGAGGCAUGCCUGGUAAAGGAUGGACCAGAUUGGGGGUCUAAGACCAAAGGUAGCACCCACAAAGGGGGUUUUGGGGGCUGGAAGUACAAAUCAGGAAGGCUGGAUGAGAUCCAGCUCUAGUCUCUUAUGGAAAUGGAACUCUUGCUUUGUCUUCGGAGGCUCCCUGGGAGGGUAGGCUCUUGGGAUCUGAGGUUCUGGUUCACCAGCAUCUCCCUUAGUAGAGCAGCCUGGUUGGGGCUAGUGAAGGAGCUGUCAUUUAUGGAAUAUCUGCUGUAUGCCAUGAACCCUUUAUACAUAACAUGGUGGCCAAAAUUUGUUUUCUGUAGUUAGCAUCAGAGUCCCCACAAGGAGAAUGCUCCUUGUUGAGGAGACGCUUGGAUCCUGGCUGAAACCAUCCCUGUCCUUGUGACCUUGUGAUUCAUAAUGAGAAAUAUAUAUUUGGUUUAUGCCUCCCGUGCCGGCACAGAGCUCCUAAACCCCUUGGAAUUUCCUGUGGUGAGAGCAGUAAAGGUGUCUUUUUUUGUGUUAACAAGGUGACUUUAUGUUAACAAGGAUGGGGGUUGGUUGCUUAGGGACCCAACCUUGUGAUUAGAGGCUUAGGACUUUCAGUCCCACCUCCUGACCUCUGGAGGUUGAAUCAAUCACCAAGGGCCAGUGCACCGUGAUUAUAUAAUGAAGCCUCCAUAAGAACUCAGUAGGAUGGGAUUCAGAGAGCUUCCCUCUAGGUGAACAUGUGACGAUUCUGGGAGAGUGGCACACUUGAAGCGGGUGUGUAAGCCCUGUGCCCUUUCCCCACACCUUGCUCUAUGCAUUUCUAUCAUCUGGCUGCUCCUGAGUUAUUUUCCUUUAUAAUAAACCAGUGAUAU